This 2919-nucleotide ribosomal RNA is filed under the name Staphylococcus aureus. RNAcentral describes it as "bacterial LSU rRNA". It matches the Rfam family "Bacterial large subunit ribosomal RNA". Lineage: Bacteria; Bacillati; Bacillota; Bacilli; Caryophanales; Staphylococcaceae. The record is from RNAcentral.
UAAGUUAUUAAGGGCGCACGGUGGAUGCCUUGGCACUAGAAGCCGAUGAAGGACGUUACUAACGACGAUAUGCUUUGGGGAGCUGUAAGUAAGCUUUGAUCCAGAGAUUUCCGAAUGGGGAAACCCAGCAUGAGUUAUGUCAUGUUAUCGAUAUGUGAAUACAUAGCAUAUCAGAAGGCACACCCGGAGAACUGAAACAUCUUAGUACCCGGAGGAAGAGAAAGAAAAUUCGAUUCCCUUAGUAGCGGCGAGCGAAACGGGAAGAGCCCAAACCAACAAGCUUGCUUGUUGGGGUUGUAGGACACUCUAUACGGAGUUACAAAGGACGACAUUAGACGAAUCAUCUGGAAAGAUGAAUCAAAGAAGGUAAUAAUCCUGUAGUCGAAAAUGUUGUCUCUCUUGAGUGGAUCCUGAGUACGACGGAGCACGUGAAAUUCCGUCGGAAUCUGGGAGGACCAUCUCCUAAGGCUAAAUACUCUCUAGUGACCGAUAGUGAACCAGUACCGUGAGGGAAAGGUGAAAAGCACCCCGGAAGGGGAGUGAAAUAGAACCUGAAACCGUGUGCUUACAAGUAGUCAGAGCCCGUUAAUGGGUGAUGGCGUGCCUUUUGUAGAAUGAACCGGCGAGUUACGAUUUGAUGCAAGGUUAAGCAGUAAAUGUGGAGCCGUAGCGAAAGCGAGUCUGAAUAGGGCGUUUAGUAUUUGGUCGUAGACCCGAAACCAGGUGAUCUACCCUUGGUCAGGUUGAAGUUCAGGUAACACUGAAUGGAGGACCGAACCGACUUACGUUGAAAAGUGAGCGGAUGAACUGAGGGUAGCGGAGAAAUUCCAAUCGAACCUGGAGAUAGCUGGUUCUCUCCGAAAUAGCUUUAGGGCUAGCCUCAAGUGAUGAUUAUUGGAGGUAGAGCACUGUUUGGACGAGGGGCCCCUCUCGGGUUACCGAAUUCAGACAAACUCCGAAUGCCAAUUAAUUUAACUUGGGAGUCAGAACAUGGGUGAUAAGGUCCAUGUUCGAAAGGGAAACAGCCCAGACCACCAGCUAAGGUCCCAAAAUAUAUGUUAAGUGGAAAAGGAUGUGGCGUUGCCCAGACAACUAGGAUGUUGGCUUAGAAGCAGCCAUCAUUUAAAGAGUGCGUAAUAGCUCACUAGUCGAGUGACACUGCGCCGAAAAUGUACCGGGGCUAAACAUAUUACCGAAGCUGUGGAUUGUCCUUUGGACAAUGGUAGGAGAGCGUUCUAAGGGCGUUGAAGCAUGAUCGUAAGGACAUGUGGAGCGCUUAGAAGUGAGAAUGCCGGUGUGAGUAGCGAAAGACGGGUGAGAAUCCCGUCCACCGAUUGACUAAGGUUUCCAGAGGAAGGCUCGUCCGCUCUGGGUUAGUCGGGUCCUAAGCUGAGGCCGACAGGCGUAGGCGAUGGAUAACAGGUUGAUAUUCCUGUACCACCUAUAAUCGUUUUAAUCGAUGGGGGGACGCAGUAGGAUAGGCGAAGCGUGCGAUUGGAUUGCACGUCUAAGCAGUAAGGCUGAGUAUUAGGCAAAUCCGGUACUCGUUAAGGCUGAGCUGUGAUGGGGAGAAGACAUUGUGUCUUCGAGUCGUUGAUUUCACACUGCCGAGAAAAGCCUCUAGAUAGAAAAUAGGUGCCCGUACCGCAAACCGACACAGGUAGUCAAGAUGAGAAUUCUAAGGUGAGCGAGCGAACUCUCGUUAAGGAACUCGGCAAAAUGACCCCGUAACUUCGGGAGAAGGGGUGCUCUUUAGGGUUAACGCCCAGAAGAGCCGCAGUGAAUAGGCCCAAGCGACUGUUUAUCAAAAACACAGGUCUCUGCUAAACCGUAAGGUGAUGUAUAGGGGCUGACGCCUGCCCGGUGCUGGAAGGUUAAGAGGAGUGGUUAGCUUCUGCGAAGCUACGAAUCGAAGCCCCAGUAAACGGCGGCCGUAACUAUAACGGUCCUAAGGUAGCGAAAUUCCUUGUCGGGUAAGUUCCGACCCGCACGAAAGGCGUAACGAUUUGGGCACUGUCUCAACGAGAGACUCGGUGAAAUCAUAGUACCUGUGAAGAUGCAGGUUACCCGCGACAGGACGGAAAGACCCCGUGGAGCUUUACUGUAGCCUGAUAUUGAAAUUCGGCACAGCUUGUACAGGAUAGGUAGGAGCCUUUGAAACGUGAGCGCUAGCUUACGUGGAGGCGCUGGUGGGAUACUACCCUAGCUGUGUUGGCUUUCUAACCCGCACCACUUAUCGUGGUGGGAGACAGUGUCAGGCGGGCAGUUUGACUGGGGCGGUCGCCUCCUAAAAGGUAACGGAGGCGCUCAAAGGUUCCCUCAGAAUGGUUGGAAAUCAUUCAUAGAGUGUAAAGGCAUAAGGGAGCUUGACUGCGAGACCUACAAGUCGAGCAGGGUCGAAAGACGGACUUAGUGAUCCGGUGGUUCCGCAUGGAAGGGCCAUCGCUCAACGGAUAAAAGCUACCCCGGGGAUAACAGGCUUAUCUCCCCCAAGAGUUCACAUCGACGGGGAGGUUUGGCACCUCGAUGUCGGCUCAUCGCAUCCUGGGGCUGUAGUCGGUCCCAAGGGUUGGGCUGUUCGCCCAUUAAAGCGGUACGCGAGCUGGGUUCAGAACGUCGUGAGACAGUUCGGUCCCUAUCCGUCGUGGGCGUAGGAAAUUUGAGAGGAGCUGUCCUUAGUACGAGAGGACCGGGAUGGACAUACCUCUGGUGUACCAGUUGUCGUGCCAACGGCAUAGCUGGGUAGCUAUGUGUGGACGGGAUAAGUGCUGAAAGCAUCUAAGCAUGAAGCCCCCCUCAAGAUGAGAUUUCCCAACUUCGGUUAUAAGAUCCCUCAAAGAUGAUGAGGUUAAUAGGUUCGAGGUGGAAGCAUGGUGACAUGUGGAGCUGACGAAUACUAAUCGAUCGAAGACUUAAUCA